CAGCCAGCCAGCCAGGUUUGUGAUCUCUGCUGCCUGCAAAAUACAAAACCUCGGCAGUCAUGAAGCGGAAUUAUGAAUCAGGAAGCCAUAAAAGAAAGAAGAGAAAGGAAGAGGAGGAUAAGAAAAAACAAGAUAGUGGAUUUGAGGACUCCCAAAACUGGGUCGGGGGCUGAAAGUGGAGAGGUGACUGUGGCGACGUGGCAGUAUUUUGACUUGAUGCACGAGGUUCUUGGUGCCCGGCCAGCAAUUGACCCACCAGUCCUUGUGUCAUCUAUUCAAGACCCCAUGGUUAUCCUCAUGGAGAUGGUGGAGCCCUACACCCAAGCACCCCCGACAGCAGCCAGCACCCCACUACACCCUACCACAUCCAUCAUACCACCACGAAGGAGGUCCAAAACAGUGGCAGAACUCCUGGCUGAGGAGGCCCUUCAGGAGCAGAGGCGCCAUGAAGACAGUGAGGCCAAGACGGAUCGCUUUCUGGAUCUCUUUGAGAGGAUGAUAAACAAAUUAUAAUUAUUGAUUACUGUUGUUCCUAUGUUUUUUAUUCUUGCUA
This is a long non-coding RNA of Gadus morhua (Atlantic cod), 553 nucleotides long. RefSeq lists it as uncharacterized. The record is from RefSeq and is a predicted model, not a curated record. Lineage: Eukaryota; Metazoa; Chordata; Actinopteri; Gadiformes; Gadidae. The transcript is spliced from 3 exons.